RNAcentral lists this ribosomal RNA (253 nucleotides) under uncultured bacterium. RNAcentral's name for it is "partial 16S ribosomal RNA". It matches the Rfam family "Bacterial small subunit ribosomal RNA", at positions 524 to 776 of the family's 1533-position model. The record is from RNAcentral.
UACGGAGGGCGCGAGCGUUAAUCGGAAUUACUGGGCGUAAAGCGCGCGUAGGCUGUUGUGUAAGUUGGGGGUGAAAUCCCACGGCUCAACCGUGGAACGGCCCUUGAUACUGCGCGACUUGAAUCCGGGAGAGGGUGGCGGAAUUCCAGGUGUAGGAGUGAAAUCCGUAGAUAUCUGGAGGAACAUCAGUGGCGAAGGCGGCCACCUGGACCGGUAUUGACGCUGAGGCGCGAAAGCGUGGGGAGCAAACAGG